Molecule: long non-coding RNA, 832 nt
Filed under: Cricetulus griseus (Chinese hamster)
Lineage: Eukaryota; Metazoa; Chordata; Mammalia; Rodentia; Cricetidae
Description: lncRNA (ENSCGRG00015034097.1)
Source: RNAcentral
GACCGAGCUGUCCAGUGCAGCGGGGAAAGAGCAGGGCUGUGACUAAUCCCCUGGCAUGCUCUGCUAGCCAAGGGCUUCAGAAUGCAAAACCAGACAUCCCAAGAGCAGCCUGUGCAUUAUAAGGCUGUCCCCCACCAACCCUGGACAGUGAACAAGAUUGAAGACAGAUCUGUGUCGAUCUUGAGUGCUGUUGGGAAUAAAUGCCCAGCAUGAAGCUGACAAGAGUGGCCACCGGGCUGGACCAACUUCAACCAAGGGCAAAGUUUUGAGUGCUACAUCUGCUCCUGUGGGCUUCCCCUCCUUCAGGCCCCAACCCCAUCUCUGCCUGUGCUGUUUCAUGAGAUUACUCCCUGCCUGUCCUCUGGCCUGGCUUGCCUUGGGAAUUGCCUUGGAUCCCCAUCUUUAGGCUCCAAUUAGUAUCUGUUACAGACAUCACGAGUGGCUCUGUUCCAGUCCUUGCUCACGCUUAUUUCCCCCACUAAGCUCUCUGUUUGGUGCCAACCAUCUUUUCUCCAUUCCUAGGGAAUGUAAGUCCUAUGGAGUGGGGUGAGAGACAGAGGACAGGAGCUGAGCGCCCAAGCCAUGACCUCGCCCGAUGGAUCUCUCCCAAACCUGCUCUAUACUGUACCAUAGGAAGACUGGGAUAAUCAGAAGCCAAGCAGACUGACUGGUCACAUUGUGCUGGGCUUCACAGUCCCCUUAUUUAUAACCCUUAGUUUACAGGUGACAAAAUAUAGUUAGAAGGCCUGUGAGAUAGCUUAAUGGGUGACAGGGCUUGGCAUGAAGGCCUUGACAAUCUGAGUUCAAUCCUUAGGUCCCAACUUGGAAGGGG